AUUGAACGCUGGCGGAAUGCUUUACACAUGCAAGUCGAACGGCAGCACGGACUUCGGUCUGGUGGCGAGUGGCGAACGGGUGAGUAAUAUAUCGGAACGUAUCCAAUAAUGGGGGAUAACUAAUCGAAAGGUUGGCUAAUACCGCAUACGUCCUACGGGAGAAAGCUAGGGACCUUCGGGCCUGGCGUUAAUGGAGCGGCCGAUAUCGGAUUAGCUAGUUGGUGAGGUAAAGGCUCACCAAGGCGACGAUCCGUAGCUGGUCUGAGAGGACGACCAGCCACACUGGAACUGAGGCACGGUCCAGACUCCUACGGGAGGCAGCAGUGGGGAAUUUUGGACAAUGGGCGAAAGCCUGAUCCAGCCAUUCCGCGUGAGUGAAGAAGGCCUUCGGGCUGUAAAGCUCUUUCGCAAGAGAAGAAAACUUACCCUCUAACAUAGGGUGAGGUUGACGGUAUCUUGAUAAGAAGCACCGGCUAACUACGUGCCAGCCGCCGCAGUAA
Molecule: ribosomal RNA, 500 nt
Filed under: uncultured bacterium
Lineage: Bacteria
Description: partial 16S ribosomal RNA
Rfam family: Bacterial small subunit ribosomal RNA
Source: RNAcentral